Molecule: non-coding RNA, 92 nt
Organism: Chelonoidis abingdonii (Abingdon island giant tortoise)
Lineage: Eukaryota; Metazoa; Chordata; Testudines; Testudinidae
Source: RefSeq, a predicted model, not a curated record
GGGGUACGUGUUAGUCUAGAUUGUAAAAAGCAACAAAGAGCCUGGUGGCACUUAUAGACCAACAGAAUCGGUGAAGCACAAGCCCCCAUGGG